AUGACAACUGCAGGUAAAAAGAAGAAAGUUGUCAUGGGAGAACUGCUCAACAACGCUGAACCAACAGCAAGGCGUGUCAUCACCGCCUACAACCCGGACCAGAAGUACAAAGUCAACCUGAAGAACUUGAAAGCAUGCAAGGCUGCCCCGCUAGAAGCAUGUGCCAAGCUACUCGGGUUAGCUCCUCGGGACGAAGACAAUAAGAAGCUCUACCAGAACCUAGGUAUUCUGAGCGACCGCAUCAUUCUUAAGAUCAAAGCUCUGUUCGAGAUUGAAUGCGACGACUGCAAGGAGACUUACAGGAAUAAACUAGGAGACACGCCCCCUCUCCACUGUAGGCUGUGCCUACAAGGCUCCCACAGCUGCAAAGCUAUUCAGAAAAAGUUGGAGGUAUACAAGCCAAUAGUCGAUGCCGGAGACACCCCAACUGGAAUAGUAUGGCUCUGCCACGAGUGCCUUAAGAAGAAGCAUCUCGACUUAAUGAGGCCCACUAACAACAAAGAAAAGCCAAAUGAAGUUGAGAAAGAAGGAGAAGAAGAAGAAGAAGAAGAGAAAGCAGGGGAAGAAGAAGAAGAAGAGGAAGAAGAAGAACGGGUGAGUCUCAGACGUGGACGGGAAGGCCAGGAAGACCGCCCUAGAAACCCACCAGCCCCCAAAGACACGCGCCCCAACGCAGGUAAAGACAACAUCUGUGAAGACUACAAGAGACGGAAAUGCCUCCACGGCCGUACUGGAGAACUACUGGUCAACGGCGAGCGAUGUAGUAAAAACCAUCCUCCCCGAUGCCGUAGAUUCUGCAACUUCGGACCCAACAACAGAGAGGGCUGUAACAGAGGCCAGCAAUGCUGGUACUGGCACCCUCGUCUUUGCAGAGAUUCGGUAAAGAACCAGCUCUGUGUCAAAGAGGAUUGUACCUUCUUCCAUAUGAAAGGUACAAUGCGCUAUAGCGCCCCCAGGGAACACCGCAGAAGAGACGAAGAAGAAGAACCUGCACCACGCAUUCCGCAACGGGAAAGGAGGAGCAGCUUCAGAAGAGAAUCGGUCCAGGGGAACGAAAACCCCAACGCCCGUCAAUCCCCAGUCUUUUUUAUUGCGAAUGAUAGAGAACCUGAAAGACGGGAUAUUCACCCGCAUGGAAGACCAGAUGUCAGAGCCAGUCUCCCCCAGAUGGUUCGAGACCUGGUACACAACAACCAGCUGCCCCAGCAACCACCAGCCCCGAUGCACCCCUUCAACACCCAACAACUCCCUCCAAUGAUGCCCCACCACAUGAUGGCACACAUGAUGCCCCACCGGCUGUAUCAAGCCUCUUCCUAUUAA
This 1320-nucleotide long non-coding RNA is filed under the name Gadus morhua (Atlantic cod). RNAcentral describes it as "lncRNA (ENSGMOG00000036676.1)". Lineage: Eukaryota; Metazoa; Chordata; Actinopteri; Gadiformes; Gadidae. The record is from RNAcentral.